AGGGUUCUGAGGAGAGGAUAGGACCUUCAUUAGGCAUUGUAUAAGGUUCCAGUCGCAUGGUUCCUAUUGUAGCUGGACAAUUUUUUUUUCUAACAUGCUAUCUUCUUUGAUCACCGUACUCCUCAUUUUAUGGUUACAUCUUUUCUUUGAACAAUAUUGAAUGGUGUGCUUAGGUUCUCCAAAAUAUAAGUAUAAUUCUUCCUGACAACGAUGAAUCUUUUCUUGCUGAAUAAGAGAUUUGAAACGUACUACAUGAAUUUGUAUAUCAUCUAUUUCCGAAUAUAUUUGUUGAAGAG
Molecule: long non-coding RNA, 296 nt
Filed under: Physcomitrium patens
Lineage: Eukaryota; Viridiplantae; Streptophyta; Bryopsida; Funariales; Funariaceae
Description: long non-coding RNA (PPAT_LNC007192)
Source: RNAcentral